RNAcentral lists this ribosomal RNA (911 nucleotides) under Metarhizium sp. RNAcentral describes it as "LSU rRNA". It matches the Rfam family "Eukaryotic large subunit ribosomal RNA", at positions 183 to 1113 of the family's 3401-position model. The record is from RNAcentral. Lineage: Eukaryota; Fungi; Ascomycota; Sordariomycetes; Hypocreales; Clavicipitaceae.
GAGUUCCCUGGAACGGGACGCCAUAGAGGGUGAGAGCCCCGUAUGGUUGGAUACCGAGCCUACGUAAAGCUCCUUCGACGAGUCGAGUAGUUUGGGAAUGCUGCUCUAAAUGGGAGGUAUAUGUCUUCUAAAGCUAAAUAUUGGCCAGAGACCGAUAGCGCACAAGUAGAGUGAUCGAAAGAUGAAAAGCACUUUGAAAAGAGGGUUAAAUAGUACGUGAAAUUGUUGAAAGGGAAGCACUUAUGACCAGACUUGGCCCCGGUGAAUCAUCCAGCGGUUCCCGCUGGUGCACUUUGCCGGGGUUCAGGCCAGCAUCAGUUCGCUCCGGGGGAUAAAGGCUUUGGGAAUGUGGCUCCCUCGGGAGUGUUAUAGCCCAUUGCGUAAUACCCUGUGGCGGGCUGAGGUUCGCGCUUUAUGCAAGGAUGCUGGCAUAAUGGUCAUCAGUGACCCGUCUUGAAACACGGACCAAGGAGUCGUCUUCGUAUGCGAGUGUUCGGGUGUUAAACCCCUACGCGUAAUGAAAGUGAACGCAGGUGAGAGCCCUUCAGGGCGCAUCAUCGACCGAUCCUGAUGUUCUCGGAUGGAUUUGAGUAAGAGCAUACGGGGCCGGACCCGAAAGAAGGUGAACUAUGCCUGUAUAGGGUGAAGCCAGAGGAAACUCUGGUGGAGGCUCGCAGCGGUUCUGACGUGCAAAUCGAUCGUCAAAUAUGGGCAUGGGGGCGAAAGACUAAUCGAACCUUCUAGUAGCUGGUUUCCGCCGAAGUUUCCCUCAGGAUAGCAGUGUUGAUUUCUCAGUUUUAUGAGGUAAAGCGAAUGAUUAGGGACCCGGGGGCGGCUUAUAGCCUUCAUCCAUUCUCAAACUUUAAAUAUGUAAGAAGCCCUUGUUGCUUAGGUGAACGUGGGCAUUCGAA